This 469-nucleotide ribosomal RNA is filed under the name uncultured Curtobacterium sp. RNAcentral describes it as "bacterial SSU rRNA". It matches the Rfam family "Bacterial small subunit ribosomal RNA", at positions 910 to 1382 of the family's 1533-position model. Lineage: Bacteria; Bacillati; Actinomycetota; Actinomycetes; Micrococcales; Microbacteriaceae. The record is from RNAcentral.
UUGACGGGGCCGCACAAGCGGCGGAGCAUGCGGAUUAAUUCGAUGCAACGCGAAGAACCUUACCAAGGCUUGACAUACACCGGUAACGCCCAGAGAUGGGUGCCCCUUUGUGGUCGGUGUACAGGUGGUGCAUGGUUGUCGUCAGCUCGUGUCGUGAGAUGUUGGGUUAAGUCCCGCAACGAGCGCAACCCUCGUCCUAUGUUGCCAGCGGGUCAUGCCGGGGACUCAUGGGAGACUGCCGGGGUCAACUCGGAGGAAGGUGGGGAUGACGUCAAAUCAUCAUGCCCCUUAUGUCUUGGGCUUCACGCAUGCUACAAUGGCCGGUACAAAGGGCUGCGAUACCGCGAGGUGGAGCGAAUCCCAGAAAGCCGGUCUCAGUUCGGAUUGGGGUCUGCAACUCGACCCCAUGAAGUCGGAGUCGCUAGUAAUCGCGGAUCAGCACGCCGCGGUGAAUACGUUCCCGGGCCUU